Molecule: ribosomal RNA, 396 nt
Filed under: uncultured bacterium
Lineage: Bacteria
Description: partial 16S ribosomal RNA
Rfam family: Bacterial small subunit ribosomal RNA
Source: RNAcentral
AUACAGAGGGUGCAAGCGUUAAUCGGAUUUACUGGGCGUAAAGCGCGCGUAGGUGGCUAAUUAAGUCAAAUGUGAAAUCCCCGAGCUUAACUUGGGAAUUGCAUUCGAUACUGGUUAGCUAGAGUAUGGGAGAGGAUGGUAGAAUUCCAGGUGUAGCGGUGAAAUGCGUAGAGAUCUGGAGGAAUACCGAUGGCGAAGGCAGACAUCUGGCUUAAUACUGACACUGAGUUGCGAAAGAAUGGGGAGCAAACAGGAUUAGAUCCCCUGGUAGUCCAUGCCGUAAACGAUGUCUACUAGCCGUUGGGGCCCUUGAGGCUUUAGUGGCGCAGCUAACGCGAUAAGUAGACCGCCUGGGGAGUACGGUCGCAAGACUAAAACUCAAAGGAAUUGACGGGG